UACGUAGGGGGCUAGCGUUGUCCGGAAUCAUUGGGCGUAAAGCGCGUGUAGGCGGCCCGGUAAGUCCGCUGUGAAAGUCGGGGGCUCAACCCUCGGAAGCCGGUGGAUACUGUCGGGCUCGAGUACGGAAGAGGCGAGUGGAAUUCCUGGUGUAGCGGUGAAAUGCGCAGAUAUCAGGAGGAACACCGGUGGCGAAAGCGGCUCACUGGCCGGAAUCUGACACUGAGGUGCGAAAGCGUGGGGAGCAAACAGG
RNAcentral lists this ribosomal RNA (253 nucleotides) under uncultured bacterium. RNAcentral describes it as "partial 16S ribosomal RNA". It matches the Rfam family "Bacterial small subunit ribosomal RNA", at positions 524 to 776 of the family's 1533-position model. The record is from RNAcentral.